AGGCCAACAACUGCUAAAAUAAGAGUGAGAUAGAUCCAACAAGACCGUUGUUAAAUGAGAUCUCAGUGGUAAUAAGGAAUGCACAGGGCAAAAUUGGAACUUUCAUACAAAGGAUUGAAUAUGAAACCAUGAUCUUUCUGCUAGAAUAGCAGAGUACAGGGACAAACUGAUGGUAAGUGCAGGGUCCUAAUGGCUAGAAAGACCACUCGAAUGCAGGAUAUACAAGAGAAGAACGUCAACCCCUUCACAGUUUUGCAAGAAAAAUCCACACAAGAAGGAGAGAUCAACAUGCUAUCGAAAACCAUGGAGGAUAUCUGAAAUGACAAC
RNAcentral lists this long non-coding RNA (327 nucleotides) under Capsicum annuum. RNAcentral's name for it is "long non-coding RNA (CANN_LNC013577)". Lineage: Eukaryota; Viridiplantae; Streptophyta; Magnoliopsida; Solanales; Solanaceae. The record is from RNAcentral.